UGGCAUUUUCAAGUCAUGGAGAAGGUGGA
This 29-nucleotide non-coding RNA is filed under the name Homo sapiens (human). The record is from RNAcentral. Lineage: Eukaryota; Metazoa; Chordata; Mammalia; Primates; Hominidae.